UCCGGUUUAACACCGGCAGUCCCUCUAGAGAUCCACUUGCGUGGCAACUAAAGGCGAGGGUUGCGCUCGUUGCGGGACUUAACCCAACAUCUCACGACACGAGCUGACGACAGCCAUGCAGCACCUCUAUACAGACCUCCGAAGAGGGGCUCUCAUCUCUGAGACUUUCCUGUACAGUUCAAACCCAGGUAAGGUCCUGCGCGUUGCUUCGAAUUAAACCACAUGCUCCACCGCCUGUGCGGGCCCCCGUCAAUUCUUUUGAGUUUUAGCCUUGCGGCCGUAGUCCCCAGGCGGCACACUUAAUGCGUUAGCUGCGGCGCCGAGGGGGUCGAUACCCCCGACACCUAGUGUGCAUCGUUUACGGCGUGGACUAC
RNAcentral lists this unclassified non-coding RNA (374 nucleotides) under uncultured bacterium. RNAcentral describes it as "contains 16S-23S intergenic spacer region". The record is from RNAcentral.